This 294-nucleotide ribosomal RNA is filed under the name uncultured bacterium. RNAcentral's name for it is "partial 16S ribosomal RNA". It matches the Rfam family "Bacterial small subunit ribosomal RNA", at positions 30 to 322 of the family's 1533-position model. The record is from RNAcentral.
UGAACGCUGGCGGCAGGCCUAACACAUGCAAGUCGAGCGGUAACAGGGGAAGCUUGCUUCUCGCUGACGAGCGGCGGACGGGUGAGUAAUGUAUGGGGAUCUGCCCGAUAGAGGGGGAUAACCACUGGAAACGGUGGCUAAUACCGCAUAAUCUCUUAGGAGCAAAGCAGGGGAACUUCGGUCCUUGCGCUAUCGGAUGAACCCAUAUGGGAUUAGCUAGUAGGUGGGGUAAUGGCUCACCUAGGCGACGAUCCCUAGCUGGUCUGAGAGGAUGAUCAGCCACACUGGGACUGA